Molecule: ribosomal RNA, 516 nt
Filed under: Alternaria sp. GF26
Lineage: Eukaryota; Fungi; Ascomycota; Dothideomycetes; Pleosporales; Pleosporaceae
Description: eukaryotic LSU rRNA
Rfam family: 5.8S ribosomal RNA (bases 151-304)
Source: RNAcentral
GGGCUGGAACCUCUCGGGGUUACAGCCUUGCUGAAUUAUUCACCCUUGUCUUUUGCGUACUUCUUGUUUCCUUGGUGGGUUCGCCCACCACUAGGACAAACAUAAACCUUUUGUAAUUGCAAUCAGCGUCAGUAACAAAUUAAUAAUUACAACUUUCAACAACGGAUCUCUUGGUUCUGGCAUCGAUGAAGAACGCAGCGAAAUGCGAUAAGUAGUGUGAAUUGCAGAAUUCAGUGAAUCAUCGAAUCUUUGAACGCACAUUGCGCCCUUUGGUAUUCCAAAGGGCAUGCCUGUUCGAGCGUCAUUUGUACCCUCAAGCUUUGCUUGGUGUUGGGCGUCUUGUCUCUAGCUUUGCUGGAGACUCGCCUUAAAGUAAUUGGCAGCCGGCCUACUGGUUUCGGAGCGCAGCACAAGUCGCACUCUCUAUCAGCAAAGGUCUAGCAUCCAUUAAGCCUUUUUUUCAACUUUUGACCUCGGAUCAGGUAGGGAUACCCGCUGAACUUAAGCAUAUCAAUA